Molecule: long non-coding RNA, 10932 nt
Filed under: Gallus gallus (chicken)
Lineage: Eukaryota; Metazoa; Chordata; Aves; Galliformes; Phasianidae
Source: RNAcentral
CCCUCAGCCCGCUCGCAGCCCCGUGCUGCCCCUCACAGCCCGUCGGAGGUGCGCGCCGCCCCUCGCGGCUCCGUGCCGCCCUCAAAGCCAUUCACAAUCUCUCGCAGCCCCGACGGAACGACCCCCGGGGCCCCCGGUGAAGCACAAGGCGGCUUUGUGCUCCCGGACGGGGCGUUGUGCAGCGGCCGUUCCCCUGCAGGUGAUGGGGAGCACCGGGAGGGCUGAGGUAGCGCGCGGCUGAGUGGCACGUGGCGAGUCGGGCCCGGCGGGAGCCGCUCCGUCCUUCUUGUAACGUAUUUUCCUUCAUGGAGAACUUACUCAUGAGGCUGAAAUUUCUGAUAUGGGAGGAGAAGAGGAGAGAGGCUGGUUUGGAGCAGAGGACCAGAGGGAUAUCAUGUCCGUGCUGGCUUUUCUCUGCAUCUGUCUGUGUUGCACUGUUGCUGUCAGUAAGCACAAGCUGGAAAUCACCUACAGAUUGUUUUAAUUUGCACCAAGGACAAAAACAUCCAUCCUCUAUUGAGCGGAGUGCUCCUAGUUUCCAGUUCUACAUUACUUCGUCAGCAGGAUCACAGCUGGGCCUAAAAGGUAAGCGUGAACCUUUUAACCAUUCAAUUUAGAAUGAAUUCAUUAAACUAAUGUACACUGUUUGUUUUGCAUCUCAAAUUGGACUAUGGAUUUAAUACUUCAAGUGGUAACAUCAUUCAACUGUUAUAGCAGUGUUGGGUGGUAUUUGCUAGUUCUUCUGUCCUGACUGUGGGUUGUGAAUCUCUCAGAAGAAAUUAGUAGUUUUCAAGUGUGAAGAAAAAGAAGGAUAGAACUUGCUUGGGCAGUCCAACAAGCAGUCUUCAUCCUGCUUUUAACUUGUAGGGACUAAGCAGUGUAAGGGACCAUCCCUAGUCCCUUCCCUGAACUUUCAACUGUGCUCAGCAUAAACUACAGAGAAGAUAUUCUGUCCUGAUACCCUUUUCUUGAAAGGUUGGCCACUGAGCUUGCUGAGUGAAGUCCUCCCCUUGAGUUGCUAAGAAGUUUUCUUCAGGACGGUGUUCUGAGUAUGCUUUUUAAUGACAAGCUGGAUUAAUUCCAAGGAAGCUCCUCUAUGCUGUUGCCUAAUUAAUAAUGCAUCUCUUCUCUUUAAAAAAAAUAAAUAAGAAAUCAAUGCAUAUUUAACUGAUAGCUGAAGUAGCCUCAAAAGCACCAUUUCAGUCCAUGAGCUGCAUAAUACAUGUUUUGUUGCUCUGGAAAUCCUAACUAGAGCAAAAGUUCUACAUGUGAGUUUGCAUUAUAAUUCUAAAGGACUUAGAGGGUUAUUUUGUGACAUUUUUCUUCUUGGAGAGAUUGGGAUACUGCACUUUGUGUUUUCUAUCCAGCAAGUUAAGUGAACUAGCAGAGGUAAUAACCUCCUUCUUUCCCUUUCUGAAAGAGAUUUGUAACCAAGAUGAAACCUGCAGCAGUGCAUUUAAGUUGUAAAGCUGCUAUCCAGCAUUACCUCAUCCUUAAACGGCUGUUAGCGAUCAAGCUGCUCUGGAAAGCAGUUUACAUGACUGUUCCCUUCUGUUGAGCAAUGCAGGGCAAAGUAAGGUGUUAAACUGGGAUUCGGGAGAGAAUUUCAUCUACCACUGUCACUGUGCAACCCUGGUCAAUGCUUUUCACUGCAGUUUCUCAUAAUGAGAUAAGAACUGAGAUUUUUAGCAUGAACUUUUGUCAUUGUAAGUUCAGCUGAUCACUGUAAUAGCUACUGGCACCUUGUUUUGCAACACUUUAUUUGCAGAGAGAAGAGAAGCUGGUUAUUGCAGAGCUCGAAUAGUUGUGAAAUGUCAGGUCUUUCUUGAUUCAUUUCUCUCAGCGUAGGUGAUUGAGAUGGUGAAUCCUACAGGGAGCAUCCCAGUGAGAGUUCUCUCUUGUUUGUUGUUCAUGUGUAUUUAUUAUUAUUUCAUAAUGAAACCUCAGGAGUUAGCUGUAGAUGGGUGAGCAAAGCCAUGUACCACUAAUGGCGAAGUAUUGUGAGGGGUUUAAAGCUUGGGCUAUGAUGAGAUCAAAAUACACAUCUGUAACAUGAGCAAGAAUUGUUUUGAUUAAAGCUGAGGCUUUAAAUUAAUUUGCAUGGGAUCUAGAUGAACGACCUGUGUGAUCAAAGCAGAUUGCAUUGUAAAUAGGUUCACAGAGUGAUGCUGAGUGAACAGAGCUCAUUUCACAGGCUGAGACUGAACCUAAUCCUGACCUCCAGCAGAAGCGUGCAGGGUAUGAUGCAGGUGGUUUUUAUCUUCUGCUCAUCAGUCAGGAGCUUUGUAGCUUGCAGACAACUCAGUUCAGUUAUAUUUUUGCUUGGGGUUAGAGAUAGUGUAGAGACAACUGCAUGCUACACAAGAUAGAGACAUCUCAUGUGGUGUAGUACACACCUGGUAUGAGAGGACUGCUCUCAUACGUGAAGUGUCUGUCAUAAGUCAGUUAUAGCCGGAGUUAACAGUCAGAACUCAAACUUUAAUACCUGUAAAGCCCUUCCCUUCCUGGAGCCUGAAAGAUUUGUUAACAUAGUUCCAAUUGCACAUUUUCGGAAGCAUGGUGUUCAUUAUAUACAGGAAAAGAAUAAUUAGGAGUAUAGGUACUUUAAAGUCAGUGCCAGCAUUUUUUUUUAAUACUUCUCUAGCGGAAAUGAUUCCCACAAGUGGAAGCUUUGUUGAAAAGAUGUUCAAUCUUACUGCCAUGAGCUAGAUUUUAGGCUGGAGAUUCUGUUUAUCAGUAAAGAUGGUGGAAGCCUUCUGUCUGUACUGAAGGUAGAACUAACUUAGUCGAUCAGAUAUUAAUCAGAAAUGGUUUGGAAGCCUUCCCAGUGGAUGGCUUGAAGAAGCUGAAUGCAAGAUCUCUUCCAAAAUGCUGUCUAAAUCCUUUGUGUUUCCCAAAGAUCAACCAGUUUGGAUAUCAAGCUAUGUUAGACCUGUAUCACCUCUGCAAAAAUGAAGCCUUUCCAGGAGGCAAUUUGAAAUACUUGAAGAUCUCUAUAUUUCAAGGAUGGUUCUAACAACAACAAAAAAAUCUUUGCUGAAUUGUCCCUUAGUACAUUUGCAAUACAGUUCAUCUACCACCCUUCAGAACUGGCUUGCAAGCCAAAAAAUAAUUACUCUAAAUUCUGUGCAUGUUCCCAGCUGCAUAAAGAUGACAUUUCCUACAGCAGGGAAACAAACAGCUCUGUGGUACCUGAAAUUGAGAUUUAUCUUGCAUCAGUUGUGAGUUCCUAGAAAAUCUUGGAAGCAGCAUUUCACAUUAUCAAAUCCAGUUCCAGACUUUGUGGGCAACCACAUAACAGAAUUGUGGCAGAAUAAUCUGAAAAGGUGUUAGAGAGGUCGUGUGACGCAUCUAUCAGCCCCAAGGCAGGAUCAACUGUGUAUUAAUCCCGACAGAUAUUUUUUCAAUCUGUUCUGAGAGAUCUCCAAUGGUGGAGAUGCUCUCAGCUAAUCUAUUCUGCCUCCUCAUCCCUGCCACCGGAAAGAUUUUCUUCAUGCUUGCCCUAAAUCUUUCUCCUUGUAAUUAGUCAGGAAAACUGAGUAACUUAUCUGUCACAGGUAUGGAUAAAAGAUUAUAUUCCACUCCUUGCAUAUGAAGAUGUUGCAGUCCCCCAGUGAGCUGCCUUCUCUUUAGGGUACGCAGCUCUGAUGUUAAUCUUCCUUCAUGUCAUGUUUGGUGAAUCUCCCAUUAGCCUGGUUGCACUCCUGCUGCUCUCUCUGGUUAGUUUGGAUCAGGAGAAACACAAAAUAUCUUUCUCACCUGUCUAAAAAUAGAACGCAUAACCUGUUUUUGAUUCAAUAACAGUUAAAAACAUUUACUAUUUACUAUUUUACUUAAAGAACUGUUUUUAUGGAAAGACGUUUUUUCUCUGUAACUGGGAGAUUAGUAUUCCAUAAUAACAGAAGUAAUGCAGAAUAUCAGUUUGGAGACAGGUGUAUGAACGUACUGCAAUGGGUGUUCUGGAGCCAGCUUCAAAAAUAGCCGAUCUUACUGUUUUCUGCUUUGUCUUUGACCUUUUUUAACUGACAUUUACCUGCCUCCUUUCCUGUUCCUAAGCACCUUUCCCUGCUUGUCUUGUGAAUACCCAUUGUGUACAGUAACGAUUGCUAUUUUUUUGUGUGUUUCAAUUCUUUAUAACAAGUUCUAAAUCUCACAGCCAGUCUGCAGUGCUCCCUAGCUCUGGAAGAUGCUCAGUCCUCAUUUGCACACGCUCUGUGACAUGACAGCCUGUUUCAUGACAAAUGACAUGCAUUGCUGAUUGUGCCGCAUGGAACUUCUGCAGUGUCUUAUCUUCCUCCUGUAAUUAAAGCUUUCAUCUUAGUUACUGCCUUUUGUUUCUUUUGAACUGAUCAGGAGAGGAAUAGAAUCAAAUAAUAUUUGAAAUUACAAUCUCGGCUAAUACAAAACACAAAAAUGUGAGGUAGUAAUCACGUUAGAUCAGCGUUCAAAAGCUGGUAAGUAGGCAGGCCAAAUAAUCUGCACUCAUUUUGGAGCAACAACCUUAGGAUCCUGGGGAAGCAGGUAUUACACUGAGCAGCUUUGAGGAAAUGAGAUUCAGUUAAUCAAGGUGGGAGAAUGAAGCUGCAACAGGAGAACCUGGAACAAUUUGCUACUCACUCACAGCUGAGGAAUGCAUAUAUCCUAUCCUGCUAGAGAUAUAACUGGCUGUGAUAAAAUGUCAAUACAAAAAUUGAGAUUAAAGGAGACCGUUUGAUCCCUUAAGACCAAUCCAGGAGUUUCCACUAGCCCUCUGGCUCUUGCCUGGCAAGUAACACCAUAAGCCUGCUCUGGGCAUGGUAACAAACUGGAGAACUUUAGCACCAAAGUGGAAAAAAAAAUCAGAAGUGCCAGAGGGGAAGAAAGAAAUAUGAAGCUCUUGCUGAUGUCUUGAACUACUGAAUUAGCAGCAAAUUUUCUAGCUAAAAAGUCUGGCUGGUGCUAGGAAGCCAGUUGCUUUCCCAACUUCAAAGCACCCAUCAAGCAGACCAGUGAGGAUAAUUCCAGUCAGUUUAGCUCUCGGGUGUGUGAGUGAGACGUUCUGAGUGGAUUCCUGAAAGAUUAUUUCUUUUUUUUUUUUUCAUCUUGCAUUUGAGUGUCUGAGCGCUGGACAUUCUGAACAUUCUGGGGUUAAGGUGAGAAAAUACAUUUUGGAAAGGUCUUUAUGGAAAUUGCUUCUGUGACAGGGCCAGAAAUAAACUUUCCUGUGCUGCAAUUGCGGAAGGAAAUGACCACCUGAGUUAAAGCUGAAUGAAAUUUACCUUAUUACCUAAGCCAUGAUUAUUUUCUCAGCAACUUUGUUCUUCACGAUGUGUGCUUGGGGCUUCUAGAAAAGGUUGUCAUUUCUAAGUGUGACUUGAUCUUUCUCAGCAAAUUUCCUCUCAUCAUUGCGCUUGUGUAAAGGAGGUGCUACAAAGCAGUCAAGGCAGAGAAACUUCAUAAGGAGGUACUGGGCUCAGUCUUACACUUGCAAAGUGUGCUGCAUCCAUAUCACCCCUGGUUAGAACGCAUGCACGGGUGUGAAGGGGCUGAAGCUGUAAUGCUUUAGCCAAUUCUUGUAAGGUUUUGGAGCUUCUGAAGUUGCCAGGCUGGUUUUCUGAAGAGUUUGGUGUUCAGUGACAGUCUGUGUACCAUACUAAAUUCAACAGCAUGUUUUUUCCAUGUUGAAACAGUGCUACAGUCAUUCCUGAGGUCUUUGGAUUGUUUCAAUUAUUUAGUUUUGCAAAAGUAUCUUAUAGAUCUUUUUCCCUCUUUCAUAUUAUUAAGUUUCUUGCCAAACUUUGAUUUAAGCCACGGAAACAAAGAUGGAUCUUUCCUUUAUACAUCUGCAAAGUUAGAUUUACUUCUUUGUCCCAUUUGAGCAUGAUUGAAAACUAAUCCAUCUCCUUUUUAUUGGCUUUUGGUAAAGCAUGUAUUUCUUUGUUUCCCUUUUUCAUUCUGUGUUGUCUUGUGGAAAUAUGUAACUUCAGUUCAAGCUGUAAAGAAUUAUCCUUCUCCAGUAAGAACAAACUGACAACAACCCAUAGUCCAAUGCAAGAGAAGUUUUAUGCCUUUAAUUACCUUCUUGGACUGUAUUCAUGCAUGGUUCAAAUAAAAUGAACUAUGAGCAGUAAUAAAAGUAUUGUUCUCACCUCUGACCUUGUAGAGAAGAAUGCUGUAACCAGAAAGGUUUUUUUUGGCUCAACAUCAGUGACAACUAGUUGAAUUCCUCUCUUUGUAGCUGUCUUUUUACCAUAAAAAGCAUAUAGGGUGCUCCGACUGCAGUUAACUUCUUGUCCAAGGACAGAAUUUGGCUUGUGGACUGCUAACUCCAGAGCAUGAUGUUUUAAGUAACAUUGCGUUCUGCUUUAAAAUGGUACUAAUGCAUUUUCAGGUAUACGUUUCCAGCUUCUGCAAGGGUUGAUUACUUUUGUUUAUUAAUGCACUAAAGGGUAUAAAAUGUUGAGGGUAUUUUUGUUAUACUACCACAGCAAAGCUAGAAUUGCUAUUUAUUGAGGUGGUUAGUGCUUAUUGAGAUCAUUGCUCAAGUGGCUGAUGCUGUGGUCAUCCACAGCGUUUUAUAUAUAUAUAUAUAUAUAUAUAUAGUUCCUCUUUGUUCCUAAAGAGCUGAAUGAGUAUGAGAAUUACAUCCAGGGAUAUUGAUCCUAGGACUGGUUUUGAUAGAAGCUGCUGACUCACUGCAGCAGCCUGAAAUUGAUCACCAUGUCCUUCGUUCUGGUGGGUAGCAUCUCUGUGGCAUCCCUGACCCUCUGCAGCAGAGCUGGUUCUUCAGACAUGGUCCCACACGUAGUGCUGCUGUUCACAAAAGGCUUGCAGAGCUGCAGAUGGGGAAUACCAAUAAAAUCUGCACAUGUAUUACAUUCAGUAAUUAAAUUUACCGUGGUGUUUUGCUCCAAUUUUUUUAUUCAGUGUGGCAACUGUCUGUAUUUUAAUGGCUUCUACUAUGUCAGAGUAUAAAUACCCACUUAAGUCAUUUUUCUGCUAGUGCUCGGGGAUGAAAUACCUCCUUAGUGGUGUGCGAGGGCAGCUUCAGGCACCCUGUAAGGGAUACGUACUUUAUAGAGUUUAAAGCACAUUAUUGCUGUUGCAAACAGAAGUGCUAGCCUGGUUGCAUCCUUGCUGUGAAAGAAGAAGAAGGGCCUGGUUAGAGUAGUUUAAAAUAAUCCUAAACCUGUGUUAGCUUCUGUGACAAAGCCAGGCUGUGGAAGGGCCACGUGUGGCGUAAAGUCGGGUUCUGUACUGCUGAAUUCCUGGGUAGAGAAACAGUGCAAAGCUAAUAGUAUUUAAUUUUAAUUUUAUUGCCAAAUAUACAGAAUUACAUUAAAAACAACAGUAUCACAAACAAUGUAGAACAAGUGAUGCUAAAUUUAACUGCUGUUGAACCUGCCAGUUUGUGAUAUAAAAUCUUCAAAAGACCUGUGCUUCGCAGUAGUUUGGAUAUGGUUGUUGAGUUCUUAGUCUGUAUUUUUGGAUUGAAAGUGUUGGAUGCAUAUUUUCAUUGAUGUGUCUGUUCAUUCUUUAGACAUAUUUUAUUCUGGUGCUCUUGAUAUUCAGUAAUGCAGCUAUGGUGCUAAAUAAAUGUGCUGUUCUUUUUUUAAUAUGGGCUUUGAAAUUCCAAUUUAAUAAUAUUUAUUUACUACUUCCAUGUUACCUAUGAAACAGUUUAUUUUGUUGCAUUAGUUACAGUUCUGGUUACCUGCAGCACUGCACUUCAGCCAUCCCUUGCCUAAGCAGCCCACUUAUGAAAACACUCCAAAACCAACAAAAGGCUCCCAUUGAAAAGCCACCUGUUUAAAACAGGCAUAUAGAUGUAGAAGGCUGCAUAAUGUAGAAUAAUGAUGUAGAAUAGCUACGUGACAUAAUUUCGAAGAGCUGAAAAAUAUUUCAAGUCUUAGAUGCACUUUUUCAAAUGAAAAGUUGGGCUCAGAAAGCGUUUAUGACAAAGUUCAGCAUCCGGAGUUAGUGCAUGAGGAGGGAUUUGACUAUGGGGAAGUUCCAACUUUGUGAAAUGAAAGACUAAGGAAAUAAAAAGAUGAUAAAAAAGGAACUGGUCAGAAAUGGAUGGCAGAAUAUAAAUAUUAAAAUUACAAAAAGAAUGUGUAUGAAUUAAAGCUACAAAGGGUAUUCAGUACCUUACAGGCUUCAACAGAAAUGAAAGUAUUUGAGAAACAAAAAAUUCCCUGGUCAGAGGUGUGAUCUGUCCUCAGAAUGCGGCUGUAAUUCAGAUGGACUGCACUGGGAAUGUACACAAGGCAUUGAGAUCUGUAUUUAUUGUGGAUUAAGCGUUAGCAUUUGUGUUUUUAGUGUGUGUAGUUAUGUGCGUCUGUACAUUGAUAGAAAGGAAUUUAAUGUGAAAUGAGCUUUGCUUCUUUAAAGCAAUAUGGCUACCUCUCGAUCUCAGUGAUGGGUGAAACUCAGUCCUACUCUCUGUGUUUCCAUGUACGUGCCCUGUAGUCAGACCACCAGCACACUGACCUACGUGGCUUGGAAUUGCCUUGACUUUCUGAUUUGAUGAAUUGAAAAACAUGGCACUGUAGUAAAAAUUAAUACAAAUAAUGGCUGAUACAGAAAGAGUAAAUAAAGAAAAUGAAUGCAGCCAGAUAUAGCAGGUCUUUGAUCAUAGAUUACAAAGAUAUUUCACUGCAUGAAAGUGUAAUUAUAUCUUUGAAGAGUUUGUAGCACAAAAGUUCAUGUACAUCACAAAGCAUAAAGGGUAGGGGAGGGUAAAGGAUUAAGAAAGCAGAAGAUAAGACUUUGUGCAUCGUUAAUGAAAGAUGAGGAAUAGAAAGACAAAUGAAAAAUAUCAUUCAUUGCAGUGAAGGCUUUGAUUCUUUAUUUUACUGUGUGUUGGCUUAGCACAAUGUGAGGAUCUAAAGACGUAAAGGAGAACAAAGGCACAAAUCCACUAUGUGUGUAUCAUGAAGUAUGAGGAAAUGGGGUAACUGUUUCCAAAGGGAGAAACAGCCAAGAAGAACCUGUUAAAACACAAAAUGCCUACAAAGUGAACUGCAGAUCAAACAGACCUAAAAUCUGAUUGUGCUAUGAGAAAGCAAAUAACAGUAACAGUGAUAGUUUCUGUUACAAGGCUGUUUUUUUUCUUUUUCCCAGUAGAAAGCCAAAGGGGGGCCAAUUUACCAUGACCAGCUGGUAUGGGAAGUCACCCAGAGCAGUGUUUGACCACAUAUCUGUGAGGAAGACGGGUGUUCGGGGCAGAAUGUCUGUUGGAGAGGGGGAGCUCAUGGUCCCUGUUUUUAGGGGAUGCCGAGGUGCGGCACUGUGGUGCAGUGUGAGCUGGGCUUCAUUUUGGAACUGAGGUUGCAUCCAGCCCCGAUGCUCCCAUGGCACUGCUCCAAGGCCUGGGUUUUCCUUAUUCCCACAGUACUGCACAGCAAGUUCCUAGACAUAGUUACCUAGCCUUGUUUUUAUUUCUGCUUCCUUUAGGAUUGACAGAAGAACAACAACAACAAAAAAAAAGUAGGUCUGUCUCCUGCUUUCAUUAGUUCAGUAUACUGCAAACCCAUUGCUUCGGUUGUCUUAAAUAGUACUACAUUACAGAGGUCAUGCCCAGAUGAUUGCUUAGCAGUGAUAAUGAGCUUCACGACCCUAUGCUACAUGCUACCUUAAAAAUAUGUGCACUUUUCAGUUUUCCCACAGCAGGUAUUUCCCUCUCUCUAGGGCUAACUCUGUAAAAACAAAGAUUUGAAGAAUUUUGUCUCCUGUUUAGUACCAUCUCUGACCUCUUCUCUGAAGAGAUUUACUGUUCCUGUUUGUACCGAGCAACAUGAAAAGUAGCCCUUUUAUUAUUAAAAUCUAUUGUCAUCGAUAGGAUCAAUAGAAUUAAUGUAAAAUGAAUGUAAAAUGCUUGGUGAAGGUUGUAGAGUCUGUAAAGCACGCAUAAAGUGGGUGUCCCAAGACCCCUCUGAUUGUUCAAGGCAUGAGGGAGGGCCUUGCUGCCAGCUCUAUUAGAAUCUGGGGAUGCUCUAAGACAGUGUUGAGCUGAGGCCUGGCCCAGAUCAUCAGCUCAUGCAAGGCUGGAGAGAUUGCCAUUGGGUUGUGUAAGAUGGAGUCUGUGUAAGUGGCUUUGCACCAGUGAACAGUGAAAAAGAAGAUGGGAGGGAUGUUUGUGCACAGGGUGUUCUGUCUGGUGGGUGCCCACUGCUAGCUGAAUACAUCAGUGUGAGGGUUUUGCUUUUUAACCUCUCAGUGCAGGCUAGGAUGUGGCAGUCAACUGGCUGCUCUUUUUAGAGGAUGCCUUGCCUGGCUGUAGCUGUAAGUAAACACCAGGGGGCUUGAGCCUCCAGAACAGGCAGCAGCCUUUAUUACGUUCUGCUUUUAGCAUCUAGCACCUGGAAAUGUAAGUCCAUAGUGAUGUAAGCUAUUCUAUAUCACUGUUAGGAGUUUUGGGAAUACAUACGGCUCAGCUGUAGACAUUGAAUUAAAGGAGUUGUGAAAUGCCAUCUGCCUGCUUGUGUUAUGUUUUCUAAAACUGCAAACAGCUCAUACUCGUUUCUUCUCAGGUUUCUCUCUUUGUUUGUGGGUCCUUUUUUCUUCUUUCUUCUUCUUCCAGCUGCUUUUGAAACUCAGUUUGCAUGCUUUUGCUUUCAGCUUUGCUCUUGGUUCUAUCUAAAAGCAAACUUUAAAUGUAUGUGGACAAGAUACUGCCUUCUGUUUCAUCCAGUGUACUUUAAUGUACACAUUUUACAUAUUCUAUUUAAAAAUCUAUGCAAAAAGUGAGAUGCAUGAACAUAAAUUAGUUUCCUGUGUACAGGAUUUUUUUGUAAGUUGCAUAGAUGCUACACUGCAUCAGCGCAUAUGUUUUGUGAAUUAGAAAGUAUACUUUCUGUGAUGAUCUCCCAUCUGCUGCUACCUCUGAUAAAUUUAAUGCUGGCUCCUGAAUACUGAAACACGGAGGUGCUUUACUCUGGCACGUGCCUG